CCUACGGGUGGCUGCAGUGGGGAAUUUUGGACAAUGGGGGCAACCCUGAUCCAGCCAUGCCGCGUGAGUGAAGAAGGCCUUCGGGUUGUAAAGCUCUUUCGGACGGAACGAAAUCGUCUGGGUGAAUAUCCUGGAUGGAUGACGGUACCGUAAGAAGAAGCACCGGCUAACUACGUGCCAGCAGCCGCGGUAAUACGUAGGGUGCGAGCGUUAAUCGGAAUUACUGGGCGUAAAGCGUGCGCAGGCGGUUACCUAAGCCAGGCGUGAAAUCCCCG
This 275-nucleotide ribosomal RNA is filed under the name uncultured bacterium. RNAcentral's name for it is "partial 16S ribosomal RNA". It matches the Rfam family "Bacterial small subunit ribosomal RNA", at positions 338 to 605 of the family's 1533-position model. The record is from RNAcentral.